ACCCAAACACUCUGCUUGAAAACCCGGCGAUCUAUCGGAGCUAUCCGUAACUGAUCCGCCGAAGAAAAGUAGGUCCGGUACAUAAACAGAGUAUUUUUUAGUUAAUGCACCGAUUUGAAAUUGCCACGUCACUAUUCCUUCGCCGGCAAAGCCGUGGAUUAGUACGACCACGGGUUUGUUCGGGUCGGGUUCGGUGGUGGAAUCAGGGGAAAUAGCAUAUUGGUUGUUGGAGAG
Molecule: unclassified non-coding RNA, 234 nt
Filed under: Hevea brasiliensis (rubber tree)
Lineage: Eukaryota; Viridiplantae; Streptophyta; Magnoliopsida; Malpighiales; Euphorbiaceae
Source: RNAcentral